CUUAUAGUGGGGGAGUAGCCUCUCGAAAGGAAGAUUAAUACCGCAUAAGAUUGUAGUAUCGCAUGAUAUAGCAAUUAAAGGAGCAAUUCGCUAUAAGAUGGACCCGCGUCGCAUUAGCUAGUUGGUGAGGUAAUGGCUCACCAAGGCGACGAUGCGUAGCCGACCUGAGAGGGUGAUCGGCCACAUUGGGACUGAGACACGGCCCAGACUCCUACGGGAGGCAGCAUG
This 228-nucleotide ribosomal RNA is filed under the name uncultured bacterium. Its description in RNAcentral is "partial 16S ribosomal RNA". It matches the Rfam family "Bacterial small subunit ribosomal RNA", at positions 130 to 353 of the family's 1533-position model. The record is from RNAcentral.